This 497-nucleotide ribosomal RNA is filed under the name uncultured bacterium. RNAcentral describes it as "partial 16S ribosomal RNA". It matches the Rfam family "Bacterial small subunit ribosomal RNA", at positions 28 to 507 of the family's 1533-position model. The record is from RNAcentral.
GACGAACGCUGGCGGCGUGCCUAAUACAUGCAAGUAGAACGCUGAAGAGAGGAGCUUGCUCUUCUUGGAUGAGUUGCGAACGGGUGAGUAACGCGUAGGUAACCUGCCUUGUAGCGGGGGAUAAAUAUUGGAAACGAUAGCUAAUACCGCAUAACAAUGGAUUACCCAUGUCAUUUAUUUGAAAGGGGCAAAUGCUCCACUACAAGAUGGACCUGCGUUGUAUUAGCUAGUAGGUGAGGUAACGGCUCACCUAGGCGACGAUACAUAGCCGACCUGAGAGGGUGAUCGGCCGCACUGGGAGUGAGAGACGGCCCAGAGUCCUGCGGGAGGCAGCAGUAGUGAAUCUUCGGCAAUGGGGGCAAGCCUGACCGAGCAACGCCGCGUGAGUGAAGAAGGUUUUCGGGUCGUAAAGCUCUGUUGUAAGUCAAGAACGAGUGUGAGAGUGGAAAGUUCACACUGUGACGGUAGCUUGCCAGAAAGGGACGGCUAACUACGUG